AGAGUUUGAUCAUGGCUCAGGAUGAACGCUAGCGGCAGGCUUAACACAUGCAAGUCGAGGGGUAACAGGAGAUAGUUUACUAUUUUGCUGACGACCGGCGCACGGGUGAGUAACGCGUAUACAAUUUACCUUUUACAGGAGAAUAGCCCAGAGAAAUUUGGAUUAAUGCUCCAUGGUAUUAUGAAACGGCAUCGUUUUAUGAUUAAAGAUUUAUCGGUAAGAGAUGAGUAUGCGUCCUAUUAGUUAGUUGGUGAGGUAACGGCUCACCAAGACGACGAUAGGUAGGGGUCCUGAGAGGGAGAUCCCCCACACUGGUACUGAGACACGGACCAGACUCCUACGGGAGGCAGCAGUGAGGAAUAUUGGGCAAUGGAGGCAACUCUGACCCAGCCAUGCCGCGUGCAGGAAGACUGCCCUAUGGGUUGUAAACUGCUUUUAUAGAGGAAGAAACCUAUCCACGUGUGGAUGGCUGACGGUACUCUACGAAUAACCCCUGGCUAACUCCGUGCCAGCAGCCGCGGUAAUACGGAGGGU
This 534-nucleotide ribosomal RNA is filed under the name uncultured bacterium. RNAcentral describes it as "bacterial SSU rRNA". It matches the Rfam family "Bacterial small subunit ribosomal RNA", at positions 8 to 533 of the family's 1533-position model. The record is from RNAcentral.